Molecule: non-coding RNA, 1215 nt
Organism: Callorhinus ursinus (northern fur seal)
Lineage: Eukaryota; Metazoa; Chordata; Mammalia; Carnivora; Otariidae
Source: RefSeq, a predicted model, not a curated record
GAGACUGUAGACCGCCACUCCCGGGUCGCCUCUUUCGAAACCGUGGUGGAGGCGGUGGUGGGGGGGGUUCUCCCUCGGGUUUCUCGAACGCGUGACCGACCUCCUCCCCCGAGUCUAGCUACCCAAAUAAAUCCGAAAUAGGGCCGCCAGGAGGAGUGAAUAGGCCCGAACCUCUGUUCCCCUGCCGCUCGGGCCUGAGAACCGCUCUCCCGAGGGCCGAAGGGUGCCGAGCCGAGCUGACUCAGUGCCCACCCGAGGGUCGAGGCCCUGGGAGGACUUCGGUAGUUGACGCCGCUUUCCCUGAAUGCCCUGAUUCACCGGGAGCCAGCCGCAUCACUGCUUCCUUGACUGCGAUUGCGUCAAGAUCCCGCCGAGGGAAACUUAGUGGUGACGGUUUUGCGUUGUAGUUGCUACACUAGAGGCAGAUGGAAGACUGUGUGAGGAGAGGCUCGUAAACGCACUCGCCAGAGAAACUCCUUGGGCCGGGUUAAUAUUAACUUAAGGACUCGGGACACGGAUUCCCCCGGGCAAAGUACUGGGACGGGUAAAGGCCCUUCCCUCUGACCCUCUCCUUAGAAGCAGAGCCGCUGUAAAGGCAAUUCAUCUACACUCUGCGUGCCACCAUGUACUCAUUUCCUACCUUGAAGGCUUUGGAGGCCUGUUGUAAAGCCAAAAUAGCUGUUGGGAAGUGCUUUGCCUAUGAAAGUCUUGAUGAUUUUAAUGAUAAGUCCAUUUGCUCCUCUUACAACUAACUAAUCCUGAUGACAUCUGUGUUUCCUGGUAGACUAGGCUAGAGCAGUGAUACUGAUCUGUAAAAAGUAUUUUCGUCAUCACCUGAAAUCUUAGAGACUCGCAACAACAAAAAACCCCGCAGUACAUCUUUAGCCAUGUUGACUUACGACAUUGUGUUGUCACUGUUAGGUUAGGUGACAUAAUAAACUGGUAGAACCAUUGUUCAGUCCCAAAGGUGUGAUUAUCCAGUAUUUAUUAUUUGUGUCUUUUGGCCAUGUUUGGCGAGCAGAACAACGUGAUCGUUAGCUUAGAUCCAGUAGGCAUAUAGGACGAGCAUGCAGCUUCUGAUAGGUUAGACUACAUAGCCAAACUUUGGACUUUUGAGAGAAUCUUGUGUUUUAUGUAAAAAUACUGCUCUAAGGAAAAAAGAGUACUGUGGCUUUUAAGACCUAAAGGUGCUCUUAUAAAGACUGUAUUAACGUA